This 409-nucleotide ribosomal RNA is filed under the name Fusobacteriota bacterium. RNAcentral describes it as "Fusobacteria bacterium partial 16S ribosomal RNA". It matches the Rfam family "Bacterial small subunit ribosomal RNA", at positions 355 to 776 of the family's 1533-position model. The record is from RNAcentral. Lineage: Bacteria; Fusobacteriati; Fusobacteriota.
UGGGGAAUAUUGCACAAUGGAGGGAACUCUGAUGCAGCAACGCCGCGUGCGGGAUGACGGCCUUCGGGUUGUAAACCGCUUUCAGCCAUGACGAAGCUUUUGUGACGGUAGUGGUAGAAGAAGCACCGGCUAACUACGUGCCAGCAGCCGCGGUGAUACGUAGGGUGCGAGCGUUGUCCGGAAUUAUUGGGCGUAAAGAGCUUGUAGGCGGUUUGUCGCGUCGAUAGUGUAAACACGCAGCUUAACUGUGUGCCUGCUGUCGAUACGGGCUGACUAGAGGAGGGUAGGGGAGAAGGGAAUUCCCGGUGGAGCGGUGGAAUGCGCAGAUAUCGGGAGGAACACCAGUGGCGAAGGCGGUUCUCUGGACCUUUCCUGACGCUGAGAAGCGAAAGCGUGGGUAGCAAACAGG